CCUGACUUAGUUCAAGAUGGCAUCUUAAAGUCUGAAUAGGUUAUCUGGUGUUUAUACUAAGUCGUAAGUGUACAGUCGUGGGAGAUUCACGGAUUUGGGGAAGUUCCAUUAACUUGGGGUUACCACAGUAUAUUGUGUACUGCAAGAGUCGUAGCAUAGCCUUGAAGCUUGUUUAUGCAUUAUUGUUAUUGUAAUUCGUCUGGGACAAAAUGGCGCAAACAUAUUAUGCACUGAGGUUAUUGCUUAAAGAAACA
Molecule: non-coding RNA, 254 nt
Organism: Pelobates cultripes (western spadefoot toad)
Lineage: Eukaryota; Metazoa; Chordata; Amphibia; Anura; Pelobatidae
Source: the annotation of a GenBank genome assembly